CUAAAGUUCGACAUCACCUGAAUCCAUGAUUUUUCGAAUAAGAUGGUAGUGAUACAAAAUGCUUGGUAAGCUAAUGGGACUUCAACUCUUUAGCAUGAGCUAUGACUCCGGUGCUGUACAAUGCAGCAGAACCAUCAUAGGAGGGUGCCACUCCUAGCUUGCCAGUAAACCUAUACAAUCACAUAGCUUCCUUGCAAGCAUCGGAUGUUGCUAUGCAUUCUGCAUCGCAAAUUGAAUUGGCUAUACUGUUCUGCUUGAAACUUUUUUCAAUAGAUUGCUCUAUUUUUUAGGAUAAAGGUACAUUCCGACAUGUUCUUGCUAUUAUUAUGUCCAACUAAAAAUUGGAGUCAAAUUUCAUAAGUCUUAAGUCAGAUUCUCCAUAACCAAGUCAUCGGUCCUUAGUAUUUCUCAAAUACUUAAGGAUGACGUUCCAAUUAUUCUUAUCCGGAUCUUGCAGGUAUCCACUCACUAUCCUAGUGAGUAUACCAUAUCUAGUCUUAUACAUGAUGUACAUGAUAGAAUAAAUUCUACUCAUAAAUAUUCUAUAUACAUGAACUGGAAUAACCUAAGCAAGCUCUUAAAUCUAUCUCUAUAGAUCUUCAUCCUCAAGAUGAGAGAUGCUUUUCCCAAGUCUUUUCUG
Molecule: long non-coding RNA, 640 nt
Filed under: Elaeis guineensis (African oil palm)
Lineage: Eukaryota; Viridiplantae; Streptophyta; Magnoliopsida; Arecales; Arecaceae
Description: long non-coding RNA (EGUI_LNC004424)
Source: RNAcentral